AAACUUUAAAGCUCUAAGAAGCAUUUUAUUUACAAUAAAAAGGUUAUUUUUUUAAAAUAUAAAGUUUA
Molecule: transfer RNA, 68 nt
Filed under: Lophogaster typicus
Lineage: Eukaryota; Metazoa; Arthropoda; Malacostraca; Lophogastrida; Lophogastridae
Description: tRNA-Val
Source: RNAcentral